This 119-nucleotide ribosomal RNA is filed under the name Pteropus alecto (black flying fox). Lineage: Eukaryota; Metazoa; Chordata; Mammalia; Chiroptera; Pteropodidae. The record is from RNAcentral.
AUCUACGGCCUUUCCACCCUGAAUGUGCCCAAUCUUGUCUAAUCUCGGAAGCUAAGCAGGGUCGGGACUGGUUAGUACUUGGAUGAGAGACCACCUAGGAAGACCAGGUGCUGUAGGCA